Molecule: small nuclear RNA, 103 nt
Organism: Grammomys surdaster
Lineage: Eukaryota; Metazoa; Chordata; Mammalia; Rodentia; Muridae
Source: RefSeq, a predicted model, not a curated record
GCUCUCUUUGGUAGCACAUAUACUAAAAUAAAUGAUACAGAGAAGAUUAGCAUGGCCCUUGCACAAGGAUGACUGUAACUUUUAUAAAUGAUAACAGUCUUGU